CCUACGGGAGGGCAGUGAGGAAUAUUGGACAAUGGAGGCAACUCUGAUCCAGCCAUGCCGCGUGCAGGAAGACUGCCCUAUGGGUUGUAAACUGCUUUUAUACAGGAAGAAACCUACUUACGUGUAAGUAGCUGACGGUACUGUAAGAAUAAGGAUCGGCUAACUCCGUGCCAGCAGCCGCGGUAAUA
This 188-nucleotide ribosomal RNA is filed under the name uncultured marine bacterium SA2. Its description in RNAcentral is "partial 16S rRNA". It matches the Rfam family "Bacterial small subunit ribosomal RNA", at positions 338 to 525 of the family's 1533-position model. The record is from RNAcentral.